This is a long non-coding RNA of Cebus imitator (Panamanian white-faced capuchin), 923 nucleotides long. RefSeq lists it as uncharacterized. The record is from RefSeq and is a predicted model, not a curated record. The transcript is spliced from 4 exons. Lineage: Eukaryota; Metazoa; Chordata; Mammalia; Primates; Cebidae.
CAAGAUGACAGAAACAGACCUCUCUCCUGUGAGUCCGCACUUUCCUAAAGUACUCUAAAGCAUCUCUGAUUACUUUUCAGGGAGCUCCACGUCCGCAUCAGCCCAGCCCCCAUGGUGGUCCCUGGGCUCAUUCUCUGUGGAAAAGUACCCAGAGUGAUUCAUUAUCAUCCCCACUCACAUGGCUUCCUAGAAAUUAAUGUCGAUAAACACUGAGAAAAACUCUAGUAUAAAAAUACACUGUACUCCAGAACUCUCGCAGAGCAGACAUCAGUGCAAACUAGGGAAAGCCAAAGCUAAUUAGGAGAAAAGGGAUGUGCAGAAUCCAGGAAAAGCUGUGGGAGAGGAGUGAGUCCAGAUGCAUUUUGGAAAGGUCUGCAUUAAACUAAGUCACCACAGAGGAUGCUCAGGAAACAGUGGAGAAGGUAUGGGGGUCAGCUAUGAGUGUUCUGAAGCCUGUUGAGUGGGUACUUGCUGCUCCAUGUGCAGAGACUUUUGGGAGGGGCUGUGUGGGGAGGAGAGGAGGGCGUUGGCCCAGGAGCUGGCAAGCCUGGGUUUGAAUCUGGACUCCAGUGCUUGUUGACCAGUCCAGCUAAGUCACUGGAUUUUGCUGAGUUUCUAUUUUCUCCUUGGCAUAAUGGGACUAAUAAUAUGUUUCCUGUUUAACUUGCAGAAAAGGUGGGAAAACCACGUAAAGCAGCAAGAAGGUUUUGAAGGUUGUACAGAGGAUCCAAGGUACCAAAAGGAGGGAACAGACUCAGAACAGCAAGGGUGAUGCUCAGGCUCCGGCACAAGAAAGAAAGUAACUUUUGGAUUUAAGGCUUGGUAGCCAACCAAGCUCCAGAGAACAAUGGAAGCUGCCCAGCACCAGGCACGAGGGGCAGGCAGGUACAGGGAGGAGACCUGGAAAAAAUCACCAGACCAAC